CUGUUGCAGCUGUUGUCUUCACUUGGUAUUUGCUCCAGCUACUUCCAGUCCAUUGCUGCUGCUGCUGCUCUUCCAGUCCAUUGCUGCUGCUGCUAGAUCUCGGUUGUUGCAGCUGAUUUCUUCACUUGCUCUUUGCUCCAGCUACGCGUGCUUCUGCAAUCUGCUCUUCCACUCGCUUGCUGCAACCACGUACUGGUAUAUUUCUUUCUUUUUUUCUAUUUGGUUGAAUUUUGAGUGUAAUUCGAAUUUGUUUAGCUUGGACCCAUAUCAUGUUCAAUUCGGCAAAUUGGAUGUUGCUAUGUUCAAUUAGUUUUCUAGCCAAAUUAAUUGGGUGUAGUUUUUUAUUAUCUUGUGUAUUGGUGUUUGCUCUGGUUUUAUUUCGUUGGAUGUACCCAUCUUUGAUAAUGGACAAUAUAUCCAGUAAUUGAAGCCUAGCACUUAUUAUCCAUGGAGCAAGUUACUUCGACUAGCUUAUUGAGCCUUAUCUUUAUUUCAUAUUUGAAAUUGAAAUUCAUUUGGCAAUUGCCUAAUGUUGUGGGCCCAAGUGUAGCCCCACAGAAAGAUUCAAGAGGCCAACAAAGGGACUGAUCAGUCGAUAAUUGGGAGAAAAUUAACUACAGCUUCAUGGAAAAAUCAGAAAUUCUUUUAAGAUGUUAUUGAAUUAUUUUGAGUUGUUGGAAUUUUUGCUUUAUAGAACUUGAUAGGUAUAGAUAUUCAGAGACUUGUUUGUGAAAUACAAGAUUUUGUAUUGGAAGGUUGCACCCAACAUAUACAAUUGAACUUGGUGUAACUUUCUGGUGAAUUUUGGCAGCUUCCAGUCCUUCUGAGUUUGAAUUUCCUCUUGAAUAUAUCGAUCUGCAUUUUAUUGACAUUUUUUGCAAGCAAUUACUUUGAUUUCUUUUAUUCAUUUUAUGAAGUUGUGAUUAUUAGAAUUUGGGAUAGGGCUUGUAAUAAGGUUUGGACUGUCAAAUUUGGAAUAACAUUGCACAUUUGAAAGCUGUCUUUUUCUACACAAACAUGCCGACAUACACAUACACACCAUGAUCUUUCGAGUAACAUUCAUUUUGUAAUCUAUGACAUGUUGCUGAAAUUACUUUCAUAUUAUGUUGAAUUUGAUUAAUAUUUGAUAUGUGUUAUUUUUUUUUUAAUUUUUCAAGAUAUGGAUCCACAUGAUGUUGAUGUUGAGGAUAAGGCCGAUUGGUACAAGAGAUGGAAUUAAAAAACAAGUGUCGCAGAGAUGAAUGCUACAAGAGAUGGAAUUGCAGCUUUUAUGUGGCAUGAUUAUAUACGUAAUGCAUAAUGUGUAUCAUGUAGUUUUUUUAUAAUUAUUUUGUUUAAAUCAUGUGUUGUAAUAUAUAUCUUAAUUAUAUGGUGUAAAAACAAUGACAAUGUCAAACUUUUUUUUAAUUAAUGUUAAUUCUUAAACUUUAUUAUCA
This 1436-nucleotide long non-coding RNA is filed under the name Citrus x clementina. RNAcentral describes it as "Citrus clementina (C. clementina) long non-coding RNA (CCLE_LNC001743)". Lineage: Eukaryota; Viridiplantae; Streptophyta; Magnoliopsida; Sapindales; Rutaceae. The record is from RNAcentral.